UCCAAUCGUCCUCUGAUGCCUGAACACGAUCUGUGAGGACGUGUGUCUGUCCCUCGUGAGACCAUCGGGUCUGUGAGACUGUUAGAACCUGAGUUUCAUCAAACGUUUGACUCGUCGGAGAAAGACUCAGUCAAACUCAAAUUCAUAUAUCAGAAAGUCCUGACUCUCCUUCUCACUCGGCCGGACCCCAAGUGAAGCGGUAGCUGCCCCCCCUUGUGGUCUGAGCCUGUAGAACCCAACCUGGGGUCAAUCCCCGGGUGGAGGCAGUCCCACUUACUGCUAUGACCUCUGGGUAAAGGUCGUCCUCUGUGUUUAGAACGUGACUUCGGUGAUUCCACGAAGCAAAAGGGCGAAUUUUAGAUUGUGUUUUCAUUCUUGUACAAAAUAAAUCAACGUAGGAGAAGUCGGGACAUUGUAUUUUAUUUGUCUUUGUUUUAUUUUUGAAGUGCUGUGUGAAUAGGAACUUGUGACUCUAGGUGUAUUUGACCAAGUGACUUUUAUUCCAUUUUAUUUCGUUUAGUUUUACUCUGAGUUCCCGUAGGCGAUGUUAGUGAGUCUGUGGUAGUUUGAGAAUCCGAGAUCUGGUCACAUCAAAACAUGGAAAGAUUCUCCUGGUUGACGCUGACUUUUAAACUUAAUUCAGGUUAAUCACUUUAUAACUUAAGAUUCAUCCGAACAUGGCCGUGCUGCACGCCCCCCCAUCACCAGGCAGAUUCCAUGUUUCUGUUGCUCUGCGUUUUCCUCCGUAGCCACCGGCACAUAAUAUAUCAACAUAUCAGUCACUAAUGAUGUCAGAAUUUGGAUUUCCAUGUACAUAUCAACUUAGUGAAUGCUGCAGAGUACAAACCUACUAAAGUACAUGUGUGUAUUUACGGUGAAUACCUGAAUAUAACCGAUACGUGGGUUUAGCCACAGCAGGUGAAGCAGGACGUGAAGAGCCAGAAACUGUGUCCAGGUUUUUCACAUGUAAAACUAAACAAUUAAAAUUCAGAUGAGAUUCUCAUUCUCCCUUAAGGAUAACACUGUUUUCUUUCUUUGUUUUAUUUGGUUGUAAAUAUGUAUUUUGAAUAUAUAUCACUGUGUUUGUUUUUUGAAAUGGAUUAAUUUAUUUAAUGCCUGUGUCUUGUUGGUUUUCCGUGUCCUGGUUUUUUGUUUUACUAACUGGAAACGAGUCAAUGGGAUGAGAAGUGGAGCAGAACAGGCAGCGACACUUUCAUAACACGUUCUUCUCUUCUGAGACGUUUCUGAUUAAUCUGCAACAACGAGAGGAAAAAAAGAAAAAUCUCAUUCCACUGUAUUAUCGGAUGUGUAACAUAUUAUGUUUUACUGUGUCGUACUUGCUCAGACGUGUCGUGGUCACUGCUUGUAAAACGAUUUUAUUCAGAGUUUCCGAAAUCAUGACAAAAGAUAAGAGCGCUCACAAAAAACCAUCACCCGCCAUUUUGUUUGUACGUGUCGUCGUGUCGCUAGCACGUCGUGUCGACCGCGGGAAACUGAGCGAAGAUCGAGUCGUACGUCGAGAUGCAGAGAAAAGAUUUCAGUCCUUUAACAACAAUUAAAAAAUCUGUUCAAUAUUGAAUAAAUAAAUAAUUUAACUGUGUAUAAGCAACUCAGCAAUAAGUACUUUGAUUUCGUUUAAGAUCCAGAAGCUGGAGAUAGAUAAAACUGAUGAGUCUUUACACGUUAGCCAACUAAUUAAAUUACAAAGUGAAGAUUUCUAAAACUCAAUGAAAUAAAACAUUAAAAAAACAUGAUUAUUUAAUAUCAAAUAUUGAUUUCGUGGUUGAUUUAUAUUUAUUUUUUAGCGCCAUUUCUUUAAAUCUACUGUUUAUAUAUUUAAUAUUGAACAAUUGAGGCUCCGUAGAUCUACUGGCUAUGUUUAGUUCUGAAUGUUUUAAGGCGACGGGGGAGACGGAACGUGAUGAAGAAGAUGAAGAGGAUGAAGAGGUGAAUGCAGAUCAGUGCUGAGCAGAUAGUGGAAGUAGUGACGAGUAGUUUUGAGGUUUGAAGCCGUUAGAGAUGAGAAACAUCACGUGUCUGCAGUGAGCAGCGUUUUGAAUGUGGCAGUUCUUGCACUAGCACACUGAUCGAAGUCUGAGCUGAUGUUUCUAUCUGGAGAGGUGUGAUCUGUCUCCGGGCUCAACAUGAGGGGACAGGACAGAGAUGUCUUAUCAAGGUCUGAUCUGUCUCUGUGGUGACUUGAGGGGACAGGAUAGAGAUGUCUUAUUAAGGUGUGAUCGCUCUCUGUGGUGACUUGAGGGGACAGGAUAGAGAUGUCUUAUCAAGGUCUGAUCUGUCUCUGUGGUGACUUGAGGGGACAGGACAGAGAUGUCUUAUUAAGGUGUGAUCGCUCUCUGUGGUGACUUGAGGGGACAGGACAGAAACGUCUUAUCAAGGUCUGAUCUGUCUCUGGUGACUUGAGGGGACAGGAUAGAGAUGUCUUAUCAAGGUGGGAUCUGUCUCUGUGGUGACAUGAGGGGACAGGACAGAGACGUCUUAUCAAGGUGUGAUCUGUCUCUAUGGUGACUUGAGGGGACAGGACACAAACGUCUUAUCAAGGUCUGAUCUGUCUCUGUGGUGACUUGAGGGGACAGGACAGAGAUGUCUUAUCAAGGUCUGAUCGCUGUCUGUGGUGACUUGAGGGGACAGGAUAGAGAUGUCUUAUCAAGGUGGGAUCUGUCUCUGUGGUGACAUGAGGGGACAGGACAGAGACGUCUUAUCAAGGUGUGAUCUGUCUCUGUGGUGACUUGAGGGGACAGGAUAGAGAUGUCUUAUCAAGGUGUGAUCUGACUCUGUGGUGACAUGAGGGGACAGGACAGAGACGUCUUAUCAAGGUGUGAUCUGUCUCUGUGGUGACUUGAGGGGACAGGAUAGAGAUGUCCCAUUAAGGUGUGAUCUGUCUCCGGGGUCAACAUGAGGGGACAGGACAUGUGAAAUUGAACGAUAGAAUAUUGUAAGAAUAUGAAAUGCUGCAGGUGUGAUGAGCACUGUGGGAGGUUUCCUGCUCCGUCGGUUUCGACCUGUCCUCCUAAACCACGUGAUCGUUCGGUUGUGUCGGGCGACGUGCAGGCAGCUGAUUGGCUCAGAGGCGACGCAGCGACCUGGUGAUGUCAUCACGUCACUCAUCCAUUCACCACGUGAACCCGGUCGGACGCCAUGGACUCAAUGCUGUUAGAAACUUUUGCUGAGAUUUUCCUCUCACGGGCGAAAGACGCACUUAAGGAUUUAUUUUGCAGCGACUGCAAUGAAAUAUGACAUGAGGUGUUAUUAAAGAUAAAUUCAAAGAUGUGGCUUUUUGUCAUGAUUUAAAUGAGACUGAACUGAAAUUAUGCCAUUGUCAUUGUGCUAAAAUGAAUAUAAAUAUUAUAUAUUAAAAUAUAUUUGCUAACCUA
Long non-coding RNA from Pleuronectes platessa (European plaice), 3392 nucleotides. RefSeq lists it as uncharacterized. The transcript has 2 exons. The record is from RefSeq and is a predicted model, not a curated record. Lineage: Eukaryota; Metazoa; Chordata; Actinopteri; Pleuronectiformes; Pleuronectidae.